RNAcentral lists this microRNA precursor (77 nucleotides) under Loxodonta africana (African savanna elephant). Its description in RNAcentral is "miRNA (ENSLAFG00000023668.1)". The record is from RNAcentral. Lineage: Eukaryota; Metazoa; Chordata; Mammalia; Proboscidea; Elephantidae.
CGGGAUGGCUGCGGCGGGGACGGCGAUUGGUCGGGAUGUGUGGUGCCACUGGCCGCCGGCUCCGCCCUGCACGCCGC